Molecule: unclassified non-coding RNA, 96 nt
Organism: Microcebus murinus (gray mouse lemur)
Lineage: Eukaryota; Metazoa; Chordata; Mammalia; Primates; Cheirogaleidae
Rfam family: Y RNA
About the family: Y RNAs are components of the Ro ribonucleoprotein particle (Ro RNP), in association with Ro60 and La proteins. The Y RNAs and Ro60 and La proteins are well conserved, but the function of the Ro RNP is not known.
Source: Ensembl
GGCUGAUCUGAUGGUAGUGGGUUAUCAGAACUUAUUAACAUUAGAGUCACUAUAGUUGGUAUACAACCCCCCACUGCUACAUUUGACUGGCUGAAA